This 252-nucleotide ribosomal RNA is filed under the name uncultured bacterium. Its description in RNAcentral is "partial 16S ribosomal RNA". It matches the Rfam family "Bacterial small subunit ribosomal RNA", at positions 524 to 776 of the family's 1533-position model. The record is from RNAcentral.
UACGUAGGGGGCAAGCGUUGUCCGGAUUAUUGGGCGUAAAGAGCGUGUAGGCGGUUAGGUAGGUCCGUUGUGAAAACUCGAGGCUCAACCUCGAGACGCCGAUGGAAACCCCCUAACUAGAGUCCGGAAGAGGAGAGUGGAAUUCCUGGUGUAGCGGUGAAAUGCGCAGAUAUCAGGAAGAACACCCGUGGCUAAGGCGGCUCUCUAGUACGGUACUGACGCUGAGACGCGAAAGCGUGGGGAGCAAACAGG